RNAcentral lists this ribosomal RNA (253 nucleotides) under uncultured bacterium. RNAcentral's name for it is "partial 16S ribosomal RNA". It matches the Rfam family "Bacterial small subunit ribosomal RNA", at positions 524 to 776 of the family's 1533-position model. The record is from RNAcentral.
UACGUAGGGUCCGAGCGUUGUCCGGAAUUAUUGGGCGUAAAGGGCUCGUAGGCGGUCUGUUGCGUCGGGAGUGAAAACUUACAGCUUAACUGUGAGCGUGCUUCCGAUACGGGCAGACUUGAGGUAUUCAGGGGAGAACGGAAUUCCUGGUGUAGCGGUGAAAUGCGCAGAUAUCAGGAGGAACACCGGUGGCGAAGGCGGAUCUCUGGGCCUUACCUGACGCUGAGGCGCGAAAGCUAGGGGAGCGAACAGG